GAGUUUGAUCAUGGCUCAGAACGUACGCUGGCGGCACGCCUAACACAUGCAAGUCGAACGAAGUAGCAAUACUUAGUGGCAGACGGGUGAGUAACAUGUAGGUAUCUGCCCUUUGGCCUGGAAUAACACGAGGAAACUUGUGCUAAUACCGGAUAAGUCUUUACGGAGAAAGCUUUAUGCACCAUUGGAUGAGCCUGCACUUGAUUAGUUUGUUGGUGGGGUAAUGGCCUACCAAGACUGUGAUCAAUAGCUGAUUUGAGAGGAUGAUCAGCCACAUUGGGACUGAGACACGGCCCAAACUCCUACGGGAGGCAGCAGUGGGGAAUCUUGCACAAUGGAGGAAACUCUGAUGCAGCGAUGCCGCGUGAGUGAAGAAGGCCCUUGGGUUGUAAAGCUCUUUCGUCGGGGAAGAAAAUGACUGUACCCGAAUAAGAAGGUCCGGCAAACUUCGUGCCAGCAGCCGCGGUAAUACGAAGGGACCUAGCGUAGUUCGGAAUUACUGGGCUUAAAGAGUUCGUAGGUGGUUGAAAAAGUUAGUGGUGAAAUCCCAGAGCUUAACUCUGGAACUGCCAUUAAAACUUUUCAGCUAGAGUAUGAUAGAGGAAAGCAGAAUUUCUAGUGUAGAGGUGAAAUUCGUAGAUAUUAGAAAGAAUACCAAUUGCGAAGGCAGCUUUCUGGAUCAUUACUGACACUGAGGAACGAAAGCAUGGGUAGCGAAGAGGAUUAGAUACCCUCGUAGUCCAUGCCGUAAACGAUGUGUGUUAGACGUUGGAAAUUUAUUUUCAGUGUCGCAGGGAAACCGAUAAACACACCGCCUGGGGAGUACGACCGCAAGGUUAAAACUCAAAUGAAUUGACGGGGACCCGCACAAGUAGUGGAGCAUGUGGUUUAAUUCGAAGAUACGCGCAGAACCUUACCAACACUUGACAUGUUCGUCGCGACUCUAAGAGAUUAGAGUUUUCGGUUCGGCCGGACGAAACACAGGUGCUGCAUGGCUGUCGUCAGCUCGUGUCGUGAGAUGUUGGGUUAAGUCCCGCAACGAGCGCAACCCACAUCUUUAGUUGCCAUCAUUAAGUUGGGCACUCUGAAAGAACUGCCAGUGAUAAGCUGGAGGAAGGUGGGGAUGACGUCAAGUCCUCAUGGCCCUUACGUGUUGGGCUACACACGUGCUACAAUGGCAUCUACAACAGGAAGCAAAACGGCAACGUUAAGCAAAUCCCGAAAAGAUGCCUCAGUUCGGAUUGCACUCUGCAACUCGAGUGCAUGAAGCUGGAAUUACUAGUAAUCGUGGAUCAGCGUGCCACGGUGAAUGCGUUCCCGGGUCUUGUACACACCGCCCGUCACACCAUGGGAGUUGGUUCUACCUUAAGGCAAGGUUUUAAACCCUUGACCACGGUAUAGUCAGCGACUGGGGUGAAGUCGUAACAAGGUAACC
Molecule: ribosomal RNA, 1435 nt
Filed under: uncultured marine bacterium
Lineage: Bacteria
Description: bacterial SSU rRNA
Rfam family: Bacterial small subunit ribosomal RNA
Source: RNAcentral